This 1188-nucleotide ribosomal RNA is filed under the name Salmonella enterica subsp. enterica serovar Kentucky. Its description in RNAcentral is "partial 23S ribosomal RNA". It matches the Rfam family "Bacterial large subunit ribosomal RNA", at positions 588 to 1773 of the family's 2925-position model. The record is from RNAcentral. Lineage: Bacteria; Pseudomonadati; Pseudomonadota; Gammaproteobacteria; Enterobacterales; Enterobacteriaceae.
GUGGGGUGACUGCGUACCUUUUGUAUAAUGGGUCAGCGACUUAUAUUCUGUAGCAAGGUUAACCGUAUAGGGGAGCCGAAGGGAAACCGAGUCUUAACUGGGCGUUAAGUUGCAGGGUAUAGACCCGAAACCCGGUGAUCUAGCCAUGGGCAGGUUGAAGGUUGGGUAACACUAACUGGAGGACCGAACCGACUAAUGUUGAAAAAUUAGCGGAUGACUUGUGGCUGGGGGUGAAAGGCCAAUCAAACCGGGAGAUAGCUGGUUCUCCCCGAAAGCUAUUUAGGUAGCGCCUCGUGAACUCAUCUUCGGGGGUAGAGCACUGUUUCGGCUAGGGGGUCAUCCCGACUUACCAACCCGAUGCAAACUGCGAAUACCGAAGAAUGUUAUCACGGGAGACACACGGCGGGUGCUAACGUCCGUCGUGAAGAGGGAAACAACCCAGACCGCCAGCUAAGGUCCCAAAGUCACAGUUAAGUGGGAAACGAUGUGGGAAGGCUCAGACAGCCAGGAUGUUGGCUUAGAAGCAGCCAUCAUUUAAAGAAAGCGUAAUAGCUCACUGGUCGAGUCGGCCUGCGCGGAAGAUGUAACGGGGCUAAACUGUGCACCGAAGCUGCGGCAGCGACGCUUAUGCGUUGUUGGGUAGGGGAGCGUUCUGUAAGCCUGCGAAGGUGUCCUGUGAGGGAUGCUGGAGGUAUCAGAAGUGCGAAUGCUGACAUAAGUAACGAUAAUGCGGGUGAAAAGCCCGCUCGCCGGAAGACCAAGGGUUCCUGUCCAACGUUAAUCGGGGCAGGGUGAGUCGACCCCUAAGGCGAGGCCGAAAGGCGUAGUCGAUGGGAAACGGGUUAAUAUUCCCGUACUUGGUGUUACUGCGAAGGGGGGACGGAGAAGGCUAUGUUGGCCGGGCGACGGUUGUCCCGGUUUAAGCGUGUAGGCUGGUUUUCCAGGCAAAUCCGGAAAAUCAAGGCUGAGGCGUGAUGACGAGGCACUACGGUGCUGAAGCAACAAAUGCCCUGCUUCCAGGAAAAGCCUCUAAGCAUCAGGUAACAUCAAAUCGUACCCCAAACCGACACAGGUGGUCAGGUAGAGAAUACCAAGGCGCUUGAGAGAACUCGGGUGAAGGAACUAGGCAAAAUGGUGCCGUAACUUCGGGAGAAGGCACGCUGACACGUAGGUGAAGUGAUUUACUCA